Zea mays is the source of this 933-nucleotide long non-coding RNA. RefSeq lists it as uncharacterized. NCBI's taxonomy places the organism in Eukaryota, Viridiplantae, Streptophyta, Magnoliopsida, Poales, Poaceae. The record is from RefSeq and is a predicted model, not a curated record. The transcript has 2 exons.
AAAGAGAUAAAUCGUGUAGUAGUUUUAAAUUGGUGAGUAGUCCUUAGAAUUUAUGUGCCAUGCCCCCGCACCCCUCGUGUCCGGAGACACCGAAGUCUGCCCCUGCCCAGCACGCCCGUCUCCCGAGCCCCCUACCCCCACAUGCUCCUGCUCCCAACCAGUCGUACCCCCACCGACCAUGCGUACGCGUUGAGUAGAUCCAGAGCAGUGGGGCUGGGAAGUGCCCGAGGUGAGAUCAGGCGAGGUGAUCAGGUCCGCUUCCUCCUCUUCCUCCGUUGGCUUCUACACGCUCCAGGACGAGGAGGAGUAGGGUGAUGAGGGCCGCGUCCUUGAGGCAUGGGAGCACGCAUACGCCGCCCUAGGCCAGGUGACCAGCUUUUGGCCGGGCCCAUUGCUGGCGACGAGAAUCCAAUAGUGAAGCUUUCUAUGUGUUGGCAGAUAAACUGAGCAGUGAGGGGUCUUGACGGUAGCAGAGUAGGUCCUGGCUGUGUUGGAAGGUAAACUAAACAGUGAGGGGUCCUGACGUCUGCAAAGAGCACUGAGAAAAGGCACAUGAGGGGCAGUAAGAGGACAGCAGGUCCUACUGUUGUUGGAAAAUAAAUUGAGCAGGUGCUGGUGGCGGCUAUAGAAGAAGGCACGAGGGGUGGCCAGAGGAGAGCAGUUCCUGGUGUGCGUUGGAGAGUGUUAAUUACCUGUGUGUGUACCUGAGGCCUUUAGUUGUACACCACGCUUUUGGAGCAGUUCCUGGUAGGCGGCUUGGCUGCUAUUUGUACAUUACUUUUGGAGGCCGCUGGUUCUAUAUAUGUGACGAUGUUUGGAAAGUGUCGAACAUUUCUUACACUGUCGUGAUACUUUUCCUUGUAUUAGUUUCUAUUUUUGGAAUGCAUGUAUAUAUCAUAUUUGAAAUUAUCUAGAAAGAAUUAUUUGCCUUUA